This 476-nucleotide long non-coding RNA is filed under the name Canis lupus dingo (dingo). Its description in RNAcentral is "lncRNA (ENSCAFG00020007362.1)". Lineage: Eukaryota; Metazoa; Chordata; Mammalia; Carnivora; Canidae. The record is from RNAcentral.
CUUGGGUGACGUGGUCCUCACGUGAGCCGGAGCCGACGUUUGCAGACGCCCUUCUAAUCCUGAUCCUGGUUUGGUCCGGUUACUAGCUCCUUUUUGCCCCGAGGGCAGGCGGGCGGUGGCCAGGGAAGGAGGAGGAGGAGGUUACUGCCCGGAUCCCAGCAGGAUCCUGAAUUUGGAAAAGCUGGUGUUGGGACUCUCUGAAGUGCUCUUCUGUCCGCCUAGCCGACUCUGUCCUGUCGCUUGUGCGUCUGUGGAUCUUGCACUUCAGGGCCAGUUCAACCCUAGAAGCAGGAAGAAGGGGAAAAUUGCUCAGAAAAACUUUGCAGGACGCAGUGGAUUUCCAGGCAAGGGAGAGAAGGAAGAAACUGCCUGGACCUGCACCGGUGUAUGUCAGGAUGCUGCUACCCCAGGACAUCUGAAGGGGUAGGGGAGGUACGGAACUGAUCAGAGACCUUAAAUUUAACGUGCGGGAGUGG